This 253-nucleotide ribosomal RNA is filed under the name uncultured bacterium. RNAcentral's name for it is "partial 16S ribosomal RNA". It matches the Rfam family "Bacterial small subunit ribosomal RNA", at positions 524 to 776 of the family's 1533-position model. The record is from RNAcentral.
UACGAGAGGCGCAACCGUUAUUCGGAAUUACUGGGCUUAAAGAGUUCGUAGGCGGCGCGAAAAGUAGGGUGUGAAAGCCCUCGGCUUAACCGAGGAAUUGCGCUCUAAACUACCGUGCUUGAGGAACCUAGAGGUGAGCAGAACUGAUGGUGGAGCGGUGAAAUGCGUUGAUAUCAUCAGGAAUACCGGAGGCGAAGGCGGUUCACUGGGGGUUUUCUGACGCUGAGGAACGAAAGCCAGGGGAGCGAACGGG